CAUUACUUUCAGGGCAGGGUGUAAUUCCCUACCGGCGGUAAUCCCCUUAGGGAGAGCCCGCGAGCGCUAUUCAAUGAAUAGGUCAGCAGAUUUGGUUAAAAGCCAGAGCCGACGGUGAUAGUCCGGAUGAAAGAAAGUAGGC
RNAcentral lists this non-coding RNA (142 nucleotides) under Gammaproteobacteria bacterium. Its description in RNAcentral is "FMN sequence". It matches the Rfam family "FMN riboswitch aptamer (RFN element)". Rfam says of the family: The RFN element is a highly conserved domain that is found frequently in the 5'-untranslated regions of prokaryotic mRNAs that encode for flavin mononucleotide (FMN) biosynthesis and transport proteins. This element is a metabolite-dependent riboswitch that directly binds FMN in the absence of proteins. Lineage: Bacteria; Pseudomonadati; Pseudomonadota; Gammaproteobacteria. The record is from RNAcentral.